UGGCCGUAAACGAUGAACACUAGGUGUCGGGGGAAUCGACCCCCUCGGUGUCGUAGCUAACGCGUUAAGUGUUCCGCCUGGGGAGUACGCACGCAAGUGUGAAACUCAAAGGAAUUGACGGGGGCCCGCACAAGCGGUGGAGUAUGUGGUUUAAUUCGAUGCAACGCGAAGAACCUUACCAGGGUUUGACAUCCUGCGAACCUCUUAGAAAUUUGAGGGUGCCUUCGGGAAUGCAGUGACAGGUGGUGCAUGGCUGUCGUCAGCUCGUGUCGUGAGAUGUUGGGUUAAGUCCCGCAACGAGCGCAACCCACGUUUUUAGUUGCCAGCAUUUAGUUGGGCACUCUAGAAAGACCGCCGGUGAUAAACCGGAGGAAGGUGUGGAUGACGUCAAGUCAUCAUGCCCCUUACACCCUGGGCUACACACGUACUACAAUGCUACGGACAAAGGGCAGCAAACUCGCGAGAGCUAGCAAAUCCCAUAAACCGUGGCUCAGUUCAGAUCGUAGGCUGCAACUCGCCUACGUGAAGUAGGAAUCGCUAGUAAUCGCAGGUCAGCAUACUGCGGUGAAUACGUUCCCGGGCCUUGUACACACCGCCCGUCACACCAUGGAAGUUGGCCAUGCCCGAAGUCGUUACUCCAACCCUUGUGGAGGAGGACGCCGAAGGUGGGGCUAAUGACUGGGGUGAAGUCAUAACAAGGUAGCCGUA
This 708-nucleotide ribosomal RNA is filed under the name uncultured bacterium. RNAcentral describes it as "bacterial SSU rRNA". It matches the Rfam family "Bacterial small subunit ribosomal RNA", at positions 797 to 1504 of the family's 1533-position model. The record is from RNAcentral.